Molecule: long non-coding RNA, 1718 nt
Filed under: Salmo trutta (river trout)
Lineage: Eukaryota; Metazoa; Chordata; Actinopteri; Salmoniformes; Salmonidae
Description: lncRNA (ENSSTUG00000010761.1)
Source: RNAcentral
AACAAGCAUUGCUAUUGAUCAUAUCUGAGAUCAUAUCCACCUGGCUGAAUUCCCCUAAGGUCAUUUUGCAUCCUUCUUCCUCCCUUCCUUGAAGAAGCCAUUAGCCACUGACCUGAUAUAGCUGGAUAGGUGAAAGCAAAGGGCUACGUAGGCUACAUUAUGGAUCUUGGUGAAAAAAGUAUGAAUACCAUAGGUCGAGGAUUGGGUUAAAUGUGGAAGACACACUUUGGUUGAAUGCAUUCAGUUGUGCAACUGACUAGGCAUCCCCUUCCCCUUUCCUAUCAUGUCAGAGCAGUUAGUAGGCUUGGCCUACUUCAAGGAGAGGAAGAAAGGCCCUGAGUGGCUGCUGUAGUUUCCUGUGUGUCAGACUUCCAGUAAUGUUAAGUGUCACUUUUACCUCCCCAUGCCGUCACAGUGUGUGUCAACACGCUUUCUUCUGACACUUAACGGCAUCAAGCCCAAACCAAGGAGUAUAUUCAGCGAAACACAAGCGGUUUGCAAUGGUGCAAUGUUUGGUGUUCACACUGCUCUGGGUCUGUGCUGUGGCACUGCAUUCCCUUGGGAGUACAGAGAGAGUAUCUCAAACGACUGAGCCAAGUGUCUCUAGGAGCACAGACCCGACGGCUGAGACAGUUACUUUAGGACCAGUUGAGACCCAAAGCCUUGAUACACACACACACCAGAGGCUAGAAGAAGAACAAGAACCACUUCCCUCAGACCCCUGUCAGGAUGACGAGUUUGAUAAGAGGGUGUACCAGAGGGAUUCUAAUGGUGUUAUGCAGCUGAUUCAGGGAGAGGACUACAAAAAGACUUGCAACUUAUCAGACACUCCAGGUGAACAGGCCCACUGUCUUAUCUACCCUACCAAUCAACUCAACUGCUCCUGGAAUUUCCACGGUCUCCCUAACUACAGCCAAUACUAUGCCUCCGUCUUUGUGUGUAAGAAAACUAAGAGAAUCUCCAGUGUGGACUGUGUCACUGAGGCCAUAGGAGGCCAAGGAGCCCAGGGAGGGACUGGUAAGGCUGACCGUGUGGUUGGACAUGUGUCUGCUGGGUGCCAAGGCAGUGUGGACAACAACGCCACCUCGGUGAUCCUGACUUUCAACGUGUCAUGCUCUGACGUGUGGGGCAUCUACACCCAUAAAUACCAGACCUAUGAUAUUGAUGUGCUGUGCCCGCCCCCCAACAUCAACCCAGCCUGGGUCAGAGAGGGGGCUCUGCUGGUGCAGUGGGGUCUCCCGUCCACCCGGUUAAAAACCAAAUCCAGCUGCUUCCACUACCAGCUACAGAUCAAUGACCAGGUGAGGGACUUUAAGGGGGGAGUGACAUACAAUGAGACCAACGCAGACCCCACACAUUCAUACGAUGUGAAGAUGAGGGUGAGGAAGAGUAGUAGCUGCAGAGGAUCUCAACACUGGAGCAGCUGGAGCAACACCACCAAGGUGGCCCCGUUUGAAUCUCCCAAUCAGCUGAACUCUCUGGUGGUCGUUGGCAUCGCUCUGGGAAUACCAAUGAUCCUCCUGUCUCUGCUGCUGCUGAUUCGACUCCAGAGGGAACGUCUGUUUCCCCACAUCCCUGGUCCCCCACUGAAGAUUAAACACCUCUUGGAGAGAGACGACCAGUUUCAGUUUGUCCCUCAGGCCCUGCAGUCCAAAUUUGUUGAGGAGAUCACAGUGGUGGAAGAAGCUAAGGAAACACCUGUGAAUUUGGCCAGUUAA